Molecule: long non-coding RNA, 1179 nt
Organism: Beta vulgaris subsp. vulgaris (sugar beet)
Lineage: Eukaryota; Viridiplantae; Streptophyta; Magnoliopsida; Caryophyllales; Amaranthaceae
Exons: 2
Source: RefSeq, a predicted model, not a curated record
AUCAAUACUACUCCAUUGCGCUAAUUAAUGUUUUUCUUUGUGCAAUGAUGAUCUAAAAAAGCUUGGUCUCAGUACCCCUUUCCAUUUGACUUCACACUGCCCGUCUGUGAGUUUUUUUUUUUUUUUUAACAAAGCAACAAUAUUAAUUCUAAGUAAUUAAAGAGAGUGUUACAAUCCAAUGUAUACGCAACCAUACAAUAACUAGAUGGGGAGAGAAUUUUUUUUAAUUUGACCGUUUUUUCAUGAUAUAUAUCUGAUAAAUUUUUUUGGCACCAUAGAUCCUUUUAAUUUUUCAAAUUCACCAUAUACCCAGGCCCGGCCCAAUACCGGUACAACCGGUUCUGUGGAACAGGGCCUCACAAAAUUUGGGACCCAAUUUCAGUUGACAGAUGGAGGGGAAAAAAAAAAGAAAGUAUAACUGCUGCAUCACACUAUUACCCGCAAGUUUCAAGAAUCUCCCCAUCUUCUUCUCCAUAUUUCUCUCUCCUCUUCAAUCUUCAUAAAUCAAAAUCCCCAAAAUCUCGUGAAAUCAUUCAACUUCCCUCAAAAAAAUUAUCUCAUUUCCAUAAUUUUAGCCAAAAAUAUCUGAAUUUCAUUACUCUUUCCCUCAAGAACACCACCAAAAAUGGAAUUUUUAACGGGAAUAAUUCUUUUGUGCUAUUUAUUUGCGAAUUGCGAUUCAUAUUCAAAUCCACUCAACUCAUAUCCAAGAAUUCAAUUUCUUUUAUCCUCCAAUUCUCCAAAAAAAAAUAAAAUUCGAACUUUGAUUUACAAAAUUUGUGGGCUAAUUUAUUGUGGAAGUCGAAGAACAAAGUUGGGAACUUUGGGAACUUGAUUGUGGGAGUCCGAAGGUGAAACAUCAGGAAUCUGUAUCAAAGUCUUCGGUUUUAAGAAAGAAGUAUUUCAAAGUUGAAAUUGUUGAAGUCCUAUAUGCGCUCUACAAUGUCACAAGAAAGACUUAAUGGACUAGCCUUGAUAGCAAUAGAGAACGAUAUUUUGGAAAAAAGUUGAUUAUGAAGAUUUGGUGGACGAUUUCGCUUCAAAGAAUGCUAGAAGGAUGGCUUUGUUUAAAUAAAAGAUUCUAAUAGAUUUUUUUUAGUUUUGGUUUAUUUACCAAACUAUAAGGAACGAUUUAUGAUAAAUAAUAACAAUAAAAAAUUUAUAAUUUCUUCUUUAUAA